GCCGCAGGGUUCAAAGCUAUGCAUUUAAAAUGAACCUGUUUGGAACAGUAACAUCACAGCAGUAUCAUGAUAACAUGUGUAAAAAAAGAAAAAAAAAAACAAAGGCCUAAAGAAGCACAGAGCAAUCAGUACCGGGGUUAGAGGUUCCUGCAGGAACAUCCUUCACAGUACUUCAUGUGCGUGCGUGUGUGCGUGCGUGCGCGCUCACGGUUCCGUGUAAAGCUUUGCUUGAGAGCCCUGAGCAGAACAUGGUGUUUGUUUAGAAUCAAAGACAGACCCACGCACGCACUCACACACACGCUGGAUUUUGAAAGAGAUACUGGUUCUCCGGAAUCGGCGCCUGACCUGAUUCUUCAGUUGCCAUAUAAACAGUGCGACCUAUAACUUUAUGUUGUGUGAGGGAAGUGUCCACGCGCCACGGAGCGUGACACAAGAGGGCGCUUUUCAUCACUUCCCCCGGGAUUUGUUGAGGAAACACAGAGAUAUAAACAACGUCAUUCAAUUAUGAAGAAGGCGACAAAAACACCAGUGCCGUGAGCUGGGACGGACCAAAGAACGGCAGGUUCUCUUCACCCUGAUGGAGGGGUCAGGGGGGUUACACCCUGGAGGAUAUAGAGUGUACUACAAUCAACUAUAAUACUGCAUAUGUAUUUGUACUGUGGGAAGAAAUCAAAAGUACCUGGAGAGAACCCACGGAGGACCAGGUAUGGAACCAGCAAACUGGUGAUUCUGUUGCUCAUGGGCAGUAUUUCCUAAACGCGCAAAAUCCCGUGCUGCACUACCAAACAGAAAUGUACCAAAAAGUAUGUGUAAAAGAAUAAUAAUAAUCAUCUACUUUGGUAGUAAAAGUGUGUGUGUGCAGAAACAGGACGCCAUGACAUCCAUCUGUCAGCCCGAGUGCGACCCAAUUACAUCAGCUCAGUGGCUGCCUGUAUGUGACCGCGGUGGUUGAAGGGCACCUGAGAGAGUGUUUCCAUCAAUUUACAAGUUUGAGUCCUGAUGUCAGACCUGGUUUUUAUGGCCCAGAAAUCACACAAAGAAGGAAUGUGACCUGGUUUAUUUCUGCAUUUAAACAGAAUAUAAUUAGAAAAUAUAAAAACAAAGCCAAUCUGCUGACUCGGGAUGAGAGGGAGAUCCUGGUGACAACAAAAUAUG
Cynoglossus semilaevis (tongue sole) is the source of this 1155-nucleotide long non-coding RNA. RefSeq lists it as uncharacterized. The transcript has 2 exons. The record is from RefSeq and is a predicted model, not a curated record. Lineage: Eukaryota; Metazoa; Chordata; Actinopteri; Pleuronectiformes; Cynoglossidae.